CGAACGCUGGCGGCGUGCUUAACACAUGCACGUCGAACGGAAAGGCCCUGCUUUUGUGGGGUGCUCGAGUGGCGAACGGGUGAGUAACACGUGAGUAACCUGCCCUUGACUUUGGGAUAACUUCAGGAAACUGGGGCUAAUACCGGAUAGGAGCUCCUGCUGCAUGGUGGGGGUUGGAAAGUUUCGGCGGUUGGGGAUGGACUCGCGGCUUAUCAGCUUGUUGGUGGGGUAGUGGCUUACCAAGGCUUUGACGGGUAGCCGGCCUGAGAGGGUGAACGGCCACAUUGGGACUGAGAUACGGCCCAGACUCCUACGGGAGGCAGCAGUGGGGAAUAUUGCACAAUGGGCGGAAGCCUGAUGCAGCAACGCCGCGUGCGGGAUGACGGCCUUCGGGUUGUAAACCGCUUUCGCCUGUGACGAAGCGUGAGUGACGGUAAUGGGUAAAGAAGCACCGGCUAACUACGUG
Molecule: ribosomal RNA, 466 nt
Filed under: uncultured bacterium
Lineage: Bacteria
Description: partial 16S ribosomal RNA
Rfam family: Bacterial small subunit ribosomal RNA
Source: RNAcentral